This 439-nucleotide ribosomal RNA is filed under the name uncultured bacterium. RNAcentral's name for it is "partial 16S ribosomal RNA". It matches the Rfam family "Bacterial small subunit ribosomal RNA", at positions 339 to 795 of the family's 1533-position model. The record is from RNAcentral.
CUACGGGCUGCUCCAGUGGGGAAUAUUGCACAAUGGGCGCAAGCCUGAUGCAGCAACGCCGCGUGAGUGAAGAAGGUUUUCGGAUCGUAAAGCUCUGUCCUUGAGGAAGAAAAUUGACGGUACUCAAGGAGGAAGCCCCGGCUAACUACGUGCCAGCAGCCGCGGUAAUACGUAGGGGGCAAGCGUUAUCCGGAAUCACUGGGCGUAAAGGGUGCGUAGGCGGUCUGUCAAGUCAGAGUUGAAAGGCUAUGGCUCAACCAUAGUAAGGCUUUGAAACUGAUAGACUUGAGUACAGGAGAGGUAAGUGAAAUUCCUAGUGUAGCGGUGAAAUGCGUAGAGAUUAGGAGGAACACCAGUGGCGAAGGCGACUUACUGGACUGUAACUGACGCUGAGGCACGAAAGCGUGGGUAGCGAACAGGAUUAGAUACCCGCGUAGUC